This 278-nucleotide long non-coding RNA is filed under the name Capsicum annuum. RNAcentral describes it as "long non-coding RNA (CANN_LNC002698)". The record is from RNAcentral. Lineage: Eukaryota; Viridiplantae; Streptophyta; Magnoliopsida; Solanales; Solanaceae.
CAAAUAUAUACUACUUCCGUAACUUUAAUUAGCAUAGGCUUUGAUACCAAUUGUAGGGGGUGCGAAUAACUCGAGUAACUUGGGUAAAUAGAUCUAUUAUAAUUCUAAUGGGUCUAUUUUUAUUUGUGUGUGGAUAUUCAAUUUCUAUAAAUAUUUUUAUUUUAUUAAUGUUCAUAUCUUGGAGGGUGAUUGUGUGGUAAUUGAUUAAAAGUUUUACUGUAGUAUUCUUUAGUUUUUUCUCUUAGUCUUUGUAAUUCUUCUAUAUUAUUUUGGAGGUA